AGACCUCCUGAGCCGGGACUAGACUCUCAGGCUCAGUGGCCAGUGUGACUCGAUCCACUGAAGAGGAAACCUGCAAAAAGAGCUACCAAAGAAGCCUGCAGGGGUGCUGCCCCUGGCCCUGAGGCUGGAGAGAGUCUUGAAGAUGAGGAGAAAGGGAGAAGGGCAGUCCCUUCAGGGCUUAGGGAACCAGGCCCUAACAGAAGUCCAAUAAAUGCAGGUCUGUUUGAAGACCUGAAGCUGUCUUUCAGAAACUGGGUCUGAAGAAGCCUCACAGCUGUUGCCAGGCCUGGGAGAGCUGCCAUCAGAGGCCGCUGCUGCGGAGAAAGUCCUUCUGCUCUGUCCUGAAGGGGAGAAGGCCAUGUCACCAUAGGUCUCCUGCUGGGGGUGGGCCAGGAUUCUCAGCAAGGAGGUAGAAAUGACCAGGGCAAUGACAACAUGGGGAUUCACAUGGACCUAUGUUAAUGUAUCAAGAAUAGUCGGACCAAAGCUUGUUAACACAGAAUAAAACAGGGAAACCAAAAAGUAGUGGAGAGGGAAUAGAGAAAUAUAAUUCCAAAGAAAUUGCCUCCAAACACUGGAGUAACUGUACACAAAAUGUAGCUCUGAGCUGGGCAGCCAAAACAGAGAAGGGAGCAGAUGAGUGACAUUAGACUCUCUGACUAGUAGAAGGAAGCAUUAGUAUCCAUUUCUCAGAAAAGAAAUUGCUUUCCUGACUCCUGAGCAAAGGCAGCAAACCACAGUCCCUUCUCAUACUUCUUAAUGAAGAAUUCCUGAACCAGGGAUUCAGCAUUCAUAGCAAAGGGAAGUCUUACCCCAGAGGGAGGCUAGUGAGGGACACCAAAUCAAAGAAGACAACAGUUUAUUUAGGUUAGAAGGAAGAACAAGGCUGCAAAGCUAAUGAAGCUUGGCUUCAGGAUCGCACAGUUACAGGUCCUUCCCUCACAUUCUCUCCCCUUUCUCCGUCCACCAGGGCAAACUAGAGAUUUAAGUUUUCGCUUUUGUUGACUUUACAAACUCAAUUCAUGGGUACAGAUGGGGAUUUAAAAACAAAAACAAGGACCUGGAGCAGUGGUUCAUAUGCCUGUCUGCACUCUGGGAGCUGAGGCAGGAGGAUGACUGGAGGCCAGGAGUUCGAAACCAGGCUGGACAACAUAGUGAAAUUUCAUCUCUACAAAAUUUAAAAUAAUAAUAAUAAUAAUAACCAGGCAUGGUGGCACAUGGCUGUAGUCCCUACUCAGGAGGCUGAGGCAGGAGGAGGGUAUGAGUUCGAGCCCAGGAGGUUGACGUUGCAGUGUGCUAUGAUUGUGCCACUGCAGUCUAGUCUAGGGUGACAUUGUUUAAAACUGUUCAAACACACACAAAGUGAAAAUUGUAAGUGCUCUUCUAAAAGCAUUGCAUGUUGGAAAAUUAGACUAGGAGGCACUUUGACAUCUUUUUAGACCACAGAUUUCUGGGGAAGCCAGAAAGGAGCUGGGGUGGCAAAACUAGGAGCACAAGGAAUGCCUCAUUAGCUGUGCUGGGGGGCCAAGGG
Molecule: long non-coding RNA, 1531 nt
Filed under: Homo sapiens (human)
Lineage: Eukaryota; Metazoa; Chordata; Mammalia; Primates; Hominidae
Description: non-protein coding lnc-RPS24-17:1
Source: RNAcentral